CUGGGCCGAUGCCCAGGUGGUGUGUAGACAGUUGGGCUGUGGGAGGGUGCUGUCUGCACCACUUGGGGCCACUUUUGGACCUGGACAAGGGCCUAAAUGGUUGGAUUAUGUAUACUGCCAUGGCCUCGAAUCUGAGCUCACACAGUGUCACCACAGAGGACUAGGGACCCACGACUGUGGUCACCAGCAGGACGCUGGAGUUGUCUGUGAAGCUGCCUCUCCAGUGAGACUGGUCAACGGUCUCUCCAACAACCCCUGUUCAGGCAGGGUGGAGGUCUUCCUCCAAGGCCAGUGGGGCACAGUUUGUGAUGUUGACUGGGACCUGAAUGAUGCCCAGGUGGUUUGUUCACAGCUGGGCUGUGGCAGUGCCAUCAGCCACCAACGAGGCAUAUUUUGGGCCGGGAACAGGACCCAUCUGGUUGGACGAUGUCAACUGUGGAGGAAAUGAAACGUCAAUAACCGACUGUGAACAUCAAGGGUUUGGUUCUCAGGACUGCAAUCACGUUGAAGACGCUGGCAUCAUCUGUGAUGGUGAUGGUAUCACUGGAAAAGGUGGUCGCUGGGUUUGCCGAUGCAUGGGCUGUCUGUACUUAUCAACUGUUAUGUUUGUUAUUUGAAGUUGUGUCCAUGCUAUGACUUCUUCAAUCAACUCAUUCAUCAUUUUUUUCUCUUUUCAUAGCUGUCCCUCCAGUGAGACUGGUCAGUGGUACCUCCAACAACCCCUGUUCAGGCAGGGUGGAGAUCCUCCUCUAUGGCCAGUGGGCCACAGUUUGUGAUCAUGACUGGGACCUGCUCGAUGCCCAUGUGGUGUGUAGGCAGUUGGGCUGUGGGAGGGUGCUGGCUGCAACACAUGGGGCCAGAUUUGGACCUGGACAAGGGCCUAUAGGGUUGGAUUAUGUAAACUGCACUGGUCACGAAUCUGAGCUCACACAGUGUGGCCACAGAGGACUGUGGACCCACAACUGUGGUCACCAGGAGGACGCUGGUGUUGUCUGUGAAGCUGCCUCUCCAGUGAGACUGGUCAACGGUCUCUCCAACACAAUUUUUGGUUCCUAAAAGUCACUUCGUCGUUCUGGUCAGUGUUUCUCAUGCUGCAUGAACUUGCUCUCUCAUGGUUUGUAUGUUAUGA
Molecule: long non-coding RNA, 1129 nt
Organism: Gadus morhua (Atlantic cod)
Lineage: Eukaryota; Metazoa; Chordata; Actinopteri; Gadiformes; Gadidae
Exons: 3
Source: RefSeq, a predicted model, not a curated record